RNAcentral lists this transfer RNA (67 nucleotides) under uncultured Gemmiger sp. It matches the Rfam family "tRNA". Rfam says of the family: Transfer RNA (tRNA) molecules are approximately 80 nucleotides in length. Their secondary structure includes four short double-helical elements and three loops (D, anti-codon, and T loops). Lineage: Bacteria; Bacillati; Bacillota; Clostridia; Eubacteriales; Oscillospiraceae. The record is from RNAcentral.
UGGUGUAGCACAACUGGCAGUGCAGCUGAUUUGUAAUCAGCAGGUUGCGGGUUCGAUUCCUGUCGCC